RNAcentral lists this long non-coding RNA (612 nucleotides) under Strongylocentrotus purpuratus (purple sea urchin). RNAcentral's name for it is "uncharacterized LOC115922380". Lineage: Eukaryota; Metazoa; Echinodermata; Echinoidea; Camarodonta; Strongylocentrotidae. The record is from RNAcentral.
AUAGUCCGCUAUUCUGCAGUGAUUUUCUUCCAAUCCAGUAUCAUUUGUACGUUGCAGCAUCAUCGAACACUAUGACCCAUGAAUCAGAAGAUAACGUAGAUGCUACGAGAGAGCUCAUUUCACAAUGGACAACAGAAGUGUUACGUGACUUUCUACAAGGAGGGGACUCAAGCUUGGAAAUCGAGUACCGGUAGUCAUUAUUUUAUGGGUGUUCUCUGCCUUGACUCUGGGGGUACUGUUCAGCCAUCCGAGGUAGAGAUAAACUGGACGAUGGAUGGAGAGGGGGCGGGGGGGGGGGGGGAGAAAGGCAUGCAGACUGCAGAGCUGGUCGUCUACUAUGUAUAGAGACAUUUGUGUGUACCUAGUAGAUAAGGACCCUCCAUCACUAGAGGGAAGAAUGAGAGACUACAAAGAGGUAAAGGCAUUUAGUUAUUUUGCCAGUUUCUGGUUAGGGAGAUAUUUUUUUCAUCUCGUGGGAGAAAGCUGUCUGUAAUUCAAAAUCAUUUGAUACUUGAAUAAAUUUAGUUCAUUUUCUAGACUGUUUCAUGUCAAACCGUUGAUUCUACUUUCUUGUGAGUAUAGUCAGAGAGAUAGAGAAGUAACACGAGUAAA